UUACUGCUGAGGAGUCCCAUACCAGAACGAAAUGGCUAUCCAGUAC
Molecule: non-coding RNA, 46 nt
Filed under: Schistosoma margrebowiei
Lineage: Eukaryota; Metazoa; Platyhelminthes; Trematoda; Strigeidida; Schistosomatidae
Source: RNAcentral